RNAcentral lists this ribosomal RNA (520 nucleotides) under uncultured kinetoplastid. Its description in RNAcentral is "bacterial SSU rRNA". It matches the Rfam family "Eukaryotic small subunit ribosomal RNA", at positions 615 to 1026 of the family's 1831-position model. The record is from RNAcentral. Lineage: Eukaryota; Euglenozoa; Kinetoplastea.
GCUGUUAAGGGUUCGUAGUUGAAUUGGGGGUUGUGAAGGAAACGAUGAGCCCGACCCAACUGGGUUUUGGGCCUAUGUCUUCCAGCUCGAGAACACAAGAAACAAAUCCACGGGAUUGGUCCUCGCCAAACUUCACAUGCAAUGCAUGUUGGCGGGGCGCCCGUGAUUAUUACUGUGCAAAAGAAGCGUGACUAAAGCAGUCAAACGACAUGAAUUAGAAAGCAUGGGAUAACAAAGGGCAGCCUACGGAUUACCGUUUCGGCUUUUGUUGGUUUUAAAGGUCUGUGGGAGACUAGGGCUCGUUGCGCAACGCGAAGGUUCGCCUCCGCCAUCUGGCUUCGGUCAGACGCACGGUGCCCGGAAUGAAGGAGGGUUGUUCGGGGGAGAACGUACUUGAACGUGAGAGGUGAAAUUCUUGACCGUUCAAAGACGAACUACAGCGAAGGCAUUCUCCAAGGAUACCUUCCUCAAUCAGAACCAAAGUGUGGAGAUCGAAGAUGAUUAGAUACCAUUGUAGUCC